UGUUCAUACCGUACGUAUUGGUCCUACGUCCACUCCCACAUCUCUCCUCCCUCUUUCUUCUCGUCCCCGGCCCGGAAUUCAAGCAAUCGCGAUUCGAUUCUGGCAUUCACUUGAAAGUCCUCAUCAAAACACAAACCCAUUUUUCUCUCUCUGCUAAAAAGACAGCGAUUAUGGCUAUAUUACAGGUUUCUGUUAUUGCAAUAAUAACACUCCUUGGAAUUUUAUCCUCUACAUCACAAUCCCUUCGAUUCGAGCUGCAAUCUGGGCACACCAAGUGCAUUUCAGAGGAUAUUAAAAGCAAUUCCAUGACUGUUGGCAAGUAUAGCAUCGUUAACCCCCACGAAGGCCAGCCUUUGCCGGAGUCCCACAAGCUCACCGCCAGGGUGACGUCGAGUUAUGGGAAUAGUUAUCACUAUGCGGACCAUGUGGGAUCGGGGCAGUUCGCGUUUACGGCGGCGGAGGCCGGGGAUUACAUGGUAUGUUUCUGGGCGGCAGAUCACAAGCCCGAAGUUACGUUGACUGUAGAUUUUGAUUGGAAGACUGGUGUGGCUGCUAAGGACUGGACUAAUGUUGCCAAGAAAGGCUCUAUUGAUGUAAGUUUGUGUUACGUGUCUUAAUUUUCCGGUUUUGGUGUGGUUUGGAUUUUGGAUGCUUGGUUGAGUUGAGUAAUGAUGAGGAGGUUGCCUUCUUGGCUAAAUUGGCUUGUUAGUUUGAGGAGGUUGCCUUGAUAGCUUAGGCAGAUUUCACCUUUGUUUCAGAUCUUAUGUCUGUAUUUGGGCUUUUGUCGAAGAAACAUAAGCAUUCUCUAGCGGAUAUUCCUCCUAACUAGUUAAGUAAAUAAGUAACUCUAUAUUUGCCCUGGUAAGAGCUACUGCCUGUAUUGGGCAUCUGAGAAACCUGAAAGAUGUAGCAGCGGAGCAGUCCAUAACUCAACUAGAACAAGGAAUCAGAGGUUGCAAAGAAAUUAGAUGUCUAUAGAAUUACAAUUCUACAGAAGCAGCAGUUGUGAGUGAUUGAUUCGCACACUUCAACUAUAUCCAGAUAUCUGUGUAUCAUAGAAAAAUUAAUAUCAGGCAAUAAAAGAACUUAGAAAAUUGAGCAUUACUAAGUACUAAGUACAAAUGCUGUAUGUAGAAAUGGAAUUGGUAAUGCGGUGAUCUGGUAAGAGAGAGCUUAUUAAGAUGUUUUUCUUGUUUUCUUGCAACAUGUAUGAGCGAUCCUGUGAUAGGCUGACCAUUUAUGUGGUUGAAAGGAUAUCCUAGAAAAACAUGGGCCUUAUUGUUGUUCUACUUCAUUAAGUUUCAAUUUUCAAGCCUCAGAAUUUAGCUAGAAAUGAGGAUAUCAAUUAAAUGACAUGUAAUGUGUAAUGUGGGAAAAAAAAUGAAGAUCUGGACCAGAGAGUGAGAGCCACACCUCCUGCCUUCCGCACAAUGCAUCACAUUGUUUUUACUGAUCAGAUCUAUUUUCCAUCUCAAAUCAUGUUCCCCUUGGAAUACUGUUUCCAUCUGUUAAUGUAUACUUUGGUAGAUUCUAUUUGCUAGGCAUCCAUCGUUCAAGGUUUAAGCAGGGGACCGCUGCUGGAAAACCUAAAGUAUCUACCUAUUAAUUUGCACUCUUUUGAUCAAACCACCUAUGAGGACUAGAUGUAUAGCACUUGGAAACUGCACACUGAUACUAGGAUAACCUGUAAAACUUGUCGUCCAUUGUUUGGUGUAUAUGAUGGAUUAAUGACGAGUUAACAUAAUCUUACAUAAAAUAAUAGACAAUUUGUGAAUUUUCUAGGUUUGAAAUUUUAAGAAUUGGUUUUGCCAUACUAUAGUAAUCAUAGUUAUUAAAGAAUCAAGGCACACUAAGGCGCCAAGGGGUCGUAGAGCCUAUGAGCAAAGCACAAGGCACAGGCACGCGCCUGAGCGAGAUGAGGUGCAAAAGUAAAAAGAAUUUAGAAAUUCCAAAAAAUUCAAAUAAAUGUGAUGUUUUUCCUUUUUCCUUUGACAUAUAUCUUAAAAUAAGUAUAAAUGCAACUUUUUUUUUAAAUGUAAUAAUAGAGUGGCAGUGUUGAAAAUGAA
This 2066-nucleotide unclassified non-coding RNA is filed under the name Hevea brasiliensis (rubber tree). The record is from RNAcentral. Lineage: Eukaryota; Viridiplantae; Streptophyta; Magnoliopsida; Malpighiales; Euphorbiaceae.